GGGCGCGUAGCUCAGGUGGUUAGAGCGCACGGUUCACAUCCGUGAGGUCACAGGUUCGAGCCCUGUCGUGCCCA
This 74-nucleotide transfer RNA is filed under the name FCB group bacterium. RNAcentral describes it as "tRNA-Val". It matches the Rfam family "tRNA". From Rfam's summary of the family: Transfer RNA (tRNA) molecules are approximately 80 nucleotides in length. Their secondary structure includes four short double-helical elements and three loops (D, anti-codon, and T loops). Further hydrogen bonds mediate the characteristic L-shaped molecular structure. tRNAs have two regions of fundamental functional importance: the anti-codon, which is responsible for specific mRNA codon recognition, and the 3' end, to which the tRNAs corresponding amino acid is attached (by aminoacyl-tRNA synthetases). tRNAs cope with the degeneracy of the genetic code in two manners: having more than one tRNA (with a specific anti-codon) for a particular amino acid; and 'wobble' base-pairing, i.e. permitting non-standard base-pairing at the 3rd anti-codon position. The record is from RNAcentral. Lineage: Bacteria; Pseudomonadati.